RNAcentral lists this ribosomal RNA (437 nucleotides) under uncultured bacterium. RNAcentral describes it as "bacterial SSU rRNA". It matches the Rfam family "Bacterial small subunit ribosomal RNA", at positions 957 to 1393 of the family's 1533-position model. The record is from RNAcentral.
UAACGCGAAGAACCUUACCAAGGCUUGACAUGGACUGGAAAUACCUGGAAACAGGUGCCCCGCUUGCGGUCGGUUCACAGGUGGUGCAUGGUUGUCGUCAGCUCGUGUCGUGAGAUGUUGGGUUAAGUCCCGCAACGAGCGCAACCCUCGUUCUAUGUUGCCAGCGCGUUAUGGCGGGGACUCAUAGGAGACUGCCGGGGUCAACUCGGAGGAAGGUGGGGACGACGUCAAAUCAUCAUGCCCCUUAUGUCUUGGGCUUCACGCAUGCUACAAUGGCCGGUACAAAGGGUUGCGAUACUGUGAGGUGGAGCUAAUCCCAAAAAGCCGGUCUCAGUUCGGAUUGGGGUCUGCAACUCGACCCCAUGAAGUCGGAGUCGCUAGUAAUCGCAGAUCAGCAACGCUGCGGUGAAUACGUUCCCGGGUCUUGUACACACCGA